RNAcentral lists this ribosomal RNA (305 nucleotides) under uncultured bacterium. RNAcentral describes it as "bacterial SSU rRNA". It matches the Rfam family "Bacterial small subunit ribosomal RNA", at positions 335 to 638 of the family's 1533-position model. The record is from RNAcentral.
UGCCUACGGGGCGCAGCAGUGAGGAAUAUUGGUCAAUGGGCGAGAGCCUGAACCAGCCAAGUCGCGUGAAGGAUGAAGGAUCUAUGGUUUGUAAACUUCUUUUAUAUGGGAAUAAAAUGUUCCACGUGUGGGAUUUUGUAUGUACCAUAUGAAUAAGGAUCGGCUAACUCCGUGCCAGCAGCCGCGGUAAUACGGAGGAUCCGAGCGUUAUCCGGAUUUAUUGGGUUUAAAGGGAGCGUAGGUGGAUUGUUAAGUCAGUUGUGAAAGUUUGCGGCUCAACCGUAAAAUUGCAGUUGAAACUGGCA